GUACGUCGUGAUUGGUACGAAGUGAGCGGCACGUGUGCAGAAGAAAAGAAUUUCUUUUACUUUCGAUUAUCGAAUGGAUCACGCGAGAAGAGAAGAAAGAAAAGAAAAGAAUAUAUACUUCCGAAAAAGUUAAAGGCUGAUCGUUCUUUCUUAUCUCGGAGGUCAACCAUGUUAAUCGAUUAACAAUAACGAUUACAUUCUUACCUUGAUUUUCACGUAAGAAUGAGUACCAAGAUUGUUGUCGACGAGGCAUGGCGGUGGUUUGUCUCUUUGUUCCAGUACGAAAAACUUUUUUGGAUCCCAGGCCCAUUUCAAGAGUCUUUUUACUAUCAUAUAGAGACCAUAGACGAAGGAUAAGAAGUGUAACUUGAUUAUCUCCCACGUUGAUAUGUGUACGAUUCUGUCGGUGAUCAUGAUGGCCAUGAAGAAAAAAGAAAAAAAAAGAAGAAUCCUUUUCGAACUUCCUUCCUUCGAGGUUACAACUUUUUUCCUUUACACUUACUUUAAUGUCUUUUUGGUUAACUAUCGUUUCUAUUUCGCGAUUAAACCGUUAUAAUAUAUGUACAUAUAUAUAUAUAUAUAUACCAUCAAUAUAUAAUAUACAUAAAAUACGUAUCAUAUACCAUACGAUAUAGAUAAAAUAUUUUCUUCGUU
Long non-coding RNA from Vespula vulgaris, 654 nucleotides. RefSeq lists it as uncharacterized. The record is from RefSeq and is a predicted model, not a curated record. NCBI's taxonomy places the organism in Eukaryota, Metazoa, Arthropoda, Insecta, Hymenoptera, Vespidae. The transcript has 2 exons.